RNAcentral lists this unclassified non-coding RNA (433 nucleotides) under soil metagenome. Its description in RNAcentral is "partial contains 5.8S ribosomal RNA, internal transcribed spacer 2, and large subunit ribosomal RNA". The stretch from base 1 to 120 matches the Rfam family "5.8S ribosomal RNA", at positions 35 to 154 of the family's 154-position model. The record is from RNAcentral.
GAUGAAGAACGCAGCGAAAUGCGAUACGUAAUGUGAAUUGCAGAAUUCAGUGAAUCAUCGAAUCUUUGAACGCAUAUUGCGCUCUCUGGUAUUCCGGAGAGCAUGCUUGUUUGAGUAUCAGUAAACACCUCAACUUCCAUAUCUUUUUUGAAAUGGGAGUUGGACUUGAGUGAUCCCAACGCUUUUCCUCACCGAAAAGUGGCGGGUUACUUGAAAUGCAGGUGCAGCUGGACUUUUCUCUGAGCUAUAAGCAUAUCUAUUUAGUCUGCCUAAAAAACGGAUUAUUACCUUUGCUGCAGCUAACAUAAAGGAGAUUAGUUCUUGUGCUGACUGAUGCAGGAUUCACAAAGACAGGCUUCGGCCGACUUUGUAAACUCGAUCUCAAAUCAAGUAAGACUACCCGCUGAACUUAAGCAUAUCAAUAAGCGGAGGA